AGGUCGUCUUGGACGGAAUUGUGG
This 24-nucleotide non-coding RNA is filed under the name Arabidopsis thaliana (thale cress). The record is from RNAcentral. Lineage: Eukaryota; Viridiplantae; Streptophyta; Magnoliopsida; Brassicales; Brassicaceae.